UAGUUUGAACAACCUCACCAUCAUUUUUACUUACACUUUUUACUACUUGUUCUCAGGUGAUGCUGCACUUGAGGAGUUUGCUCAUGAACCUAAUCCCAAUGACGGUAAUGGUGCCAAAGGAGAUGACGGAGAUCAUCUGCAAGAAGUGGAUGACGAUGGUGAUGCUGCACUUGAGGAGUUUGUUCAUGAACCUAAUCCUAAUGACAGUAAUGGUGCAGGAGGAGAUGGCAGAGAUCAUCUGCAAGAAGGGGAUGACGACAGUGAUGAUGACCCUGACUAUAAAAUGGUAGAUGUCAUUCGAAGACCAUGGAAUACUCAUGAUUUUUUUGAUGUAGGAAGUCUUGACUUAUCUGGCUACAAUGCAGCAUGGCAACUAGACAAUGGAGUCAGGCUACUACUUGUGGGCAAGGGUGAGAUAUGGAACAGAUACAGGAGCUCGAUGUUAUAGUCAUCACGGAAGAUUAGAUUCCGUACCUACCUACCUACCUACCUACCUAUGGCAGUCAGCGAGAUGGGGGGGGGGGGGUGAAUCAAGUCGACUGAGAGAGGGGAGAAAACAUAUGAAACAGUUUGUAAAAAGUAACGUCGAAGAUAGUUGAUAGUUCUGAGUUCAAAGAAACACUCAAAUUCUAUUACUUUGGGAAACAGAGUACUGACUACUGAUCAGGUUUUGAGCUAGAUAUGGGGGCUGAAAGAUAUGAACACUUACGAAGUCUCUUUCGGUUUUUUUCUUCCUACCGCGUAUUGGCAUUCGAUGAUUUUUAUCUCUUUUACAUAAAUAAUUGUCUUGCAAUUCUAGCAGUGAUCAUAUUCAAGGAUUCAACAAUUCUUCGCCAAACUGGGAUGCUGGAACCUGGAGUGGUAUGAAUUCAUGUGUUUGAGAUAAAAUUGAAUCUGAAAAAUGGCUAUAGCAGUUACAACGCUCUUCCGAGUUCUGUUGAGUUGCGAAUUUAGACCGGCCAUUCAUGACCUACGUAUCAAAUCUAGACAGUUUGAGUGACAGCAACCCCCAUCUUUUGUGCAUCAUGUGAAAGAAGUCUUCUAAAAAACCCUCAAUUAGCUGGGACUGGUAAAUGUUACCAGUUCCUAUAAGUUUAAUUCGAUGUUUGAUUGUUUGAUGAUCACGGUUCAGAGAUGGUUCUAUUAGGGCAUGUAAAGUCAUCAUUUGAUCAGGAGUUAGGACCAUUACCUCACAGCCUUCAUCCCCCGGACCAUUGUCUCUCACCUGUAUCGCGUUGGCACUUGGUCUUGGCCAGAUCGAAGACAAGGUUCCUUUCCUCAUCGUCUCCUCCUCUCUUUGAAGGACAGCCUCUUCUCUACCGAGUACCGACGUCGAUGCCUCGACCAAAACAAGUUUCAUAUCGAAAUAAAUUGAAAUAAUUUUCUGAAUAAAGUUUUGUUCAAAACUCUCCUACCUUCCAAUGCCAAAUCUUAUCUUUGUCGGAACUCUAAAGUUUGGCAGUAGUGCUACAUUUAUCAUCUAUUUAUACUCUCACUUGUACCAUUUUUUUAAUUGAGGUAAAAUCCGCGUAGGUCUCAUCUCUAUUAGAGAAAUAUACAGAUGGUAUCAUAAAUAGAUGGUAAGAAAAUCAUUUUUGGUUAUAAUUUAGCGUUCAAAAAAUUACAAUUGUGUUUCAAUCUUAGUCCAAGGACUUAUCGACAUAAAAUGUUAUAUUAUUGCAACCUAACAAGUCCGUUUCAACAUAAAAUGUUACAAUAUUAGAAACAAUAAAAU
This 1735-nucleotide long non-coding RNA is filed under the name Malus domestica (apple). RNAcentral's name for it is "long non-coding RNA (MDOM_LNC003203)". The record is from RNAcentral. Lineage: Eukaryota; Viridiplantae; Streptophyta; Magnoliopsida; Rosales; Rosaceae.